This 424-nucleotide ribosomal RNA is filed under the name uncultured bacterium. RNAcentral's name for it is "bacterial SSU rRNA". It matches the Rfam family "Bacterial small subunit ribosomal RNA", at positions 355 to 775 of the family's 1533-position model. The record is from RNAcentral.
UGAGGAAUAUUGGUCAAUGGACGAGAGUCUGAACCAGCCAAGUCGCGUGAAGGAAGACGGCCCUACGGGUUGUAAACUUCUUUUGUAAGGGAAUAAAUAGUCUUACGCGCUAAGACGUUGCAGGUACCUUACGAAUAAGGAUCGGCUAACUCCGUGCCAGCAGCCGCGGUAAUACGGAGGAUCCGAGCGUUAUCCGGAUUUAUUGGGUUUAAAGGGUGCGCAGGCGGCAUGUUAAGUCGGCGGUGAAAUUUUGCAGCUCAACUGUAAAAGAGCCUUCGAAACUGGCAAGCUUGAGUGUGGAUGAAGUAGGCGGAAUUUGUGGUGUAGCGGUGAAAUGCAUAGAUAUCACAAAGAACACCGAUUGCGCAGGCAGCUUACUAAACCAUAACUGACGCUCAUGCACGAAGGCGUGGGGAUCAAACAG